AUGGAAAAAGGCAAGACUUCCUUCCCAGGAGAUUUAUCAUUCUUCAAAAAAAUGGGGUUCUCAAAGAUUCAAGUUCACGGUGAAGAGAUGACAGUACAAGUGCUGGGAGCAAAUCACCGGGUCGACUCCAGCAGCCGGGCAAGCCCACGAGAGGUAGGAUGGAGCCCGAGUGAUCCCGGGCCGGGGACUGGCGUGCCUCGCUGCCUCGGCCGAGAUGGGCCCCAGAAAGAACCCAGGGCAGCAGUGGGCAGUGAGGACUUCCCAUCCCGCCCAGGGCCUACAGCUCGUCUGACGUCAAAGCUCAAAGCCCCCAGGCCAGUGGGGCCUGGAGUGACUCUUGCUAUUCAUUCAACGUUCAAGCGAUAUUUAUUGCAGGCCUACAGUAACAACCACCACGGCAGUAAUAAAACAGUAGAAGUAACAGCUGACACUUACUGAGGGCUUCCUGAAUGUUUGGGGCCAGCAAUAACGGCAAGUGCGGGAGGGAGUUGGUUCCCUACCCUCCUGGAGUCUUUCCGCUGGAGGGAGCGACUGCGCAUGCGCAGAUGAAUUACCAACUACACAAGAUAAGUACAAAUUAGGAUAAGAAGCCCAAAGGAAAAAAGAACAGGAUGCUAAAAUAGAGGAUAGUGGGACAGAAGGUGUAGAUUAUUUUGUUUUCAUUUUGUUGCUUUUUAGGGCGGCACCGGCGGCAUAUGGAAGUUCUGAGGCUGGGGUUGAAUCAGAGUUAUGGCUACCAGCCUACGCCACAGCCACAGCAAUGCAGGAUCCAAACCGCAUCUGUGACCCACACCACGGCCCAUGGCAACACUGGGUUCUUAACCGACUAAGCAAGGCCAGGGAUGGAACCCACAUCCUCAUGGAUACUAGCUGGGUUUGUUACCACUGAGCCACAAUGGGAAUUCCAGAUGAUUUUAGAUAAGGUGGGCAGGGGUGGUUCUUCCCUGGAGUUGAUACUCAGACAAGACUUUGAGAAGGAUGGGGUGGGGGCUGGUAUCAAAGCCUGAGGCAGCUGGAGCUUCUCUGCCAGAUAGAGCAACAAGUGCAAAGGCCCUGGGGUAGGGAAAGAUGUUUAGAGUGUUGAGAGGAAUUGAGGAGAACUGGCAGUGGCGAGACCACAGGGAGGAGAGCAAGGUGAUGAAAGGUGGGGGGAAGAACCUGCCAGGGCACAAGGUGCAGGACAUCACUGGAAGGUUGAAGCAUUGAAAUGGUGCAAUUUGAUUAGUGAAUAUAAAAGGUCUCUGAUGUUUUCCUAUGCCUUGUGCUGGGGUGUGAACUCCCUCCCUCACCCCUGUGGUCCUGCCCAGGAACUACAGCUAGGCCCCUCCCUGGAUUGUGGUUGGAAUGAGAGCCCCUACCCCAACUUCUACCCCAUCCUGCACUAUGCCUGCAGCCCUACCCCGCAGCCAGCCCCUGUCAGCAUUCCUAAUACCCUAGUUCCCAAGCAUGUCCGCUCUGAGAACUGUCUUUGUUCGACGUCCCUUGCUCAUCGGGGCCCCAUCUGGAACUGAACGGACUCCUCCAGCCACUGUCAGCCCCAAAACCAUGGAGCCUCGGCCUCCCAAACUCCAUCCAUCCCCACUAGCCGAAGAUCCCAGCUACUGCAUGUCUACCCUUGGCUGGGGCCACUGUGUACUGACUAACAGUUACUCCCUGAGAAGACCAGCCACUGCCUACUCAAUGUCCUUCCUAUCUUCCCACCAGCCUGCUGAUAAAGCCCCCUUGUGCCUUGCAGCCAAGUCCUUCUGAGACAUGAGAAUCUCCUUCAGUGCUAAUGAGGAGGACUGGGCCAGGAAAAUUCACCGUCUGUGAAGAUGGGACACUGGGAGAUGGCAAGAUCCGCUCCGCAGGGGGCAGUCGGGGUCAGAGCAGAUGCUGCUAAUGGACAGUGAUUGGGGUUGCCAUCCCCUUCCAUUAGGAGCUGGCCACUCCCACAGCUCCAGGCCAUCCUUGGAGGCCUGGUGUCCUCUCCUGCUGGGGAAAGACUGGGCUGGUUCACUAAUGGGGCCCCCAGCCAGCUCAGAGAACAGCAGGGGAAAGCCCCUGCCAGAACAAUCCAUUUCUCCUCCCCCCACCAGGAACCUCACCGGCUUCUCCGAGAGCUCCAUGCAGGAGGGACCAGCUCAGACUCCAAGCCAAAGAAAGCACUGCAAGUGUAUUCACAAUAGGAUUUGAGAAUAUUCCUUCCAGAGCGGAGGGGCCAGCCAUGUGGGGCGCUGAAAUGAUCUGUGGACAUGGGGCCCAGCAGGACUGAGCAGAAUAGUGAUCACCCACAUGCUGAGUAUAUGCUCUAACUCCACCCCCGGGGGGGAGCACCCUGAGCGGAGCCCCAUCAUCCCAGCUUCACAAAGAGGACAUGAACAGCAGAAGGUGUGGCAAGUUGUGGAAGUCACCUGGCUGGUGUGUGUUGGAUGAGGACCUGGCAGGCUGUGCCCUCGUUCUUAACCACCGUGCUGUCUGCUCGCUCCGAUCCCAGCCCUGGUCUGACACUUGCUGGCUUGGUGUUGCCCAGCAGCAUUGUCCACGCCAUACCCUCCCAAUGUGCUCCACAAACAGUUAUCAAGUGUCUCCUCUGUGCCUCUCAUUUACAGAAGAAAUGGAUGCUGGGGGAGCCUACAUAAAUGCACACAACUGUUCCUGUCCCAAAACUUGAGCCACGGUCCCAUAAAGCCCAAUUUCUCCCCUCCUCAAAGAUGCUCUUCAGUGACAGCUGCAGUGGGGUUGGGUGCUUGCCCUCCUGGUUCACGGCAGGGCUGCUGGGCUAUGUCCAGGACAGGUAGCAGGGGAGGCAGGGAAGAGGUGGUACUCCUCCAGGCAUAAGGGUGCAGGCACAACAUGUAUUGAGAGUCAGAGUCCGUAGUCCAGAGAUCAGGACCUGAUGGGGGGCAUCUCAAAUGCUCCUUCUGCAUAUGGUCAAGGGGAGCCCAGGUGGGGUAUCCCACAGGAGCAGUCCGAGGCUCUCUUUGCUCCAGGUUCCUAGAGUACCAGGUUGAACACAGACUGGGACCAUGUCCUGCUCCAGCCCCCAGGCAAGGGUUGCCCCUUGGAGGAGCCCCUGGCCUGCACUAAGGAAAACUGAAAGAGGGAAGGUGAGAGCUGGCCUGGACAGAGCGACCAAGAGGAGAAGAAAGGCCCAGAUCAGUGGGUGGCAAAGCUGGGGGUGGGGUCGGCAGUAUGGACUGCUGUGAUCUGUCCUGGGCACCCAGGACUCCCCUGCAGGACCACAGGACUUUCUCCUCCAGAUGCUGGGAAGACUGUCAGCUGAUAAGGGCUCCAUGGUCAGCCCUCUUUAGGAGUCUAAAGAGAGCUGCAGCAUUCCCAUCAUGGCUCAGUGGUAAUGAGCCCAACUAGUAUCCAUGAGGACUCAGGUUGGAUCCCUGGCCUCGAUCAGUGGGUUAAGGAUCUGGUGUUGCUGUGAGCUGUGGUGUAGGUCGCAGAUGUGGCUCAGAUCCCACAUGGCUGUGGCUGUGGUGUAGGCCAGCACCUGCAGCUGCAAUUCGACCUCUAGUCUGGGAACUUCCAUAUGCUGCGGGUAUGGCCCUAAAAAGAAAAAAUAAAUAAAUAAAAAAGCGAGCGAGCGAGGGAGUG
RNAcentral lists this long non-coding RNA (3588 nucleotides) under Sus scrofa (pig). Its description in RNAcentral is "lncRNA (ENSSSCG00070001440.1)". Lineage: Eukaryota; Metazoa; Chordata; Mammalia; Artiodactyla; Suidae. The record is from RNAcentral.